Molecule: long non-coding RNA, 880 nt
Organism: Phacochoerus africanus (Common warthog)
Lineage: Eukaryota; Metazoa; Chordata; Mammalia; Artiodactyla; Suidae
Exons: 2
Source: RefSeq, a predicted model, not a curated record
GUACAGCGUGUGACCUUCUGUGUCUGGCUCCUUUCACUCAGCGUGAUACAACCUCUUCGUCUCUCAGGCGGGCGGGAGGGCCGAGACCCAGCGAGGCGGAGGGCCCCGUCCCAGCUCACACAGCGGGGAAGGACAGGCUUCCCACGAGCCAGAGGACGCCGAGCCAGGAUGGGCAGCCCCCAGGUGGAAAGGAAGGUGGCGACUGAGUCCAUCACCUGUCAUCUAGAACUUGAGAGCAGGAUGCACGCUGACAAAGCCCACGCCGCAGCUGAAUUCAAACGUCUGGUUCAAGGAGUACGGAUUGGGCGCCUGCUGGAUGCACAGCCCCUUUCCCAGACCAUCCAGCCUGGCUGGUCCCGAGCACAGUCUUUGAUGGAAGAGAGGUUUGAGUCUGGAGGCACGUUUCCUGCUGGUAAGCAGUGGAUUCCAGACACGUCCUUUUGGCUCUCAAAGCCGACUUUCUCAUUGCUUAAGUGGCUGCACCCCCGGAGCCUGAAUUAGGGGCGGUGGCGCAUGUUCCACGCGGCAACUCGGGGAAGUCUCGGUAAGUGUCAGCCACGAGGGGCACUUUGUCAGCCUGUCGUUAUUCCAGAAGGAAGCUGCCUCCUUUGGGUGUCUCCCUCCUGCCGCCGGUGCAGCCCAGGGACAGCCAGGCACCUACGUGGAAAGCAGGUCCAAGAGGGGACAGAGGAAGGCCAGGCUGGGCUCAUGUGUGUCCCUAAGCCCCCUCGUCUCCCGGGGUGACCCUGUGAGCCAUCCUGAGUUAGCUGCUUUGCGCCACCGAAACAAACACCCACCUUCCUCUGGAGAGAUGAUUCCACGCCACUCAAGGACCCCACCUAUGUGACAAUCACUGAUUAAAAUGCCUCUGCCUGCUCCA